This 26-nucleotide non-coding RNA is filed under the name Rattus norvegicus (Norway rat). Lineage: Eukaryota; Metazoa; Chordata; Mammalia; Rodentia; Muridae. The record is from RNAcentral.
GUAGAUAUUGCUUUGAAUUGGUGACC